GGGGAAUCUUGCGCAAUGGGCGAAAGCCUGACGCAGCAACGCCGCGUGCGGGAUGAAGGCCUUCGGGUUGUAAACCGCUUUCAGCAGGGACGAACGUGACGGUACCUGCAGAAGAAGCCCCGGCUAACUACGUGCCAGCAGCCGCGGUAAUACGUAGGGGGCAAGCGUUAUCCGGAUUUAUUGGGCGUAAAGAGCGCGUAGGCGGUCUGUUAAGCGAGAUGUGAAAACCGGGGGCUCAACCCGCGGCCUGCAUCUCGAACUGGCAGACUUGAGUCUGGUAGAGGAAAGUGGAAUUCCUGGUGUAGCGGUGAAAUGCGCAGAUAUCAGGAGGAACACCAGUGGCGAAGGCGGCUUUCUGGGCCACGACUGACGCUGAGGCGCGAAAGCUAGGGGAGCGAAC
This 400-nucleotide ribosomal RNA is filed under the name uncultured bacterium. Its description in RNAcentral is "bacterial SSU rRNA". It matches the Rfam family "Bacterial small subunit ribosomal RNA", at positions 356 to 773 of the family's 1533-position model. The record is from RNAcentral.